CUUCCUCCGCAAAGGCUCCCUCUCCACCACCAUCCGCGAGCUCGGCCACAUGGGUUUGCCCGAGAGAGCCUUGCAGACCUACCGCUGGGCGGAGAAGCAUCCUCAUCUCUUUCCUGAUAACCGCAUCCUCGCGUCCACCAUCCAGGUCCUAGCCAAGCACCGCGAGCUGAAGCUCCUCAAGUUCGACAACACCUUGGCUAGCAAGAGCGUUAUCGAAGCCAUGAUCAAAGGCUGCAUCGAAGGCGGUUGGCUGAACCUAGCGAGGAAGCUUUUACUGAUAGCUAAAAGUAACAACCGUGUCCUCGACUCGAGUAUCUACGUUAAGAUGAUUCUAGAGAUCGCUAAAAACCCUGACAAGUACCAUCUCGUUGUUUCCCUCCUCGACGAGUUGAAAGAUAGAGAAGACUUGAAGCUGAGCCAGCAAGACUGCACGAGCGUGAUGAAGAUCUGCGUGAAACUUAAAAGGUUCGAGCUCGUUGAGUGUCUCUUUGAAUGGUACAAAGAAUCAAACAGAGAGCCGAGCGUUGUGAUGUACACUACCAUGAUACACAGCAGGUUUUCGGAAGAGAAGUAUAGAGAGGCGAUGAGUAUGGUUUGGGAGAUGGAGGAAUCGAACUGUCUUCUUGAUCUUCCUGCUUAUAGAGUGGUCAUUAGAUUAUUUGUGGCGUUGGAUGAUUUGGGAAGAGCAAUGAGAUACUACUCUAAGCUCAAGGAAGCUGGUUUUACUCCAACGUAUGAUGUUUUUCGCGAUAUGAUCAGCGUUUGUAUAGCUUCUGGGAGAUUGACAAAGUGUAGAGAGAUAUGUAAGGAGGUUGAAGAUGCUGGAUUGAGGUUGGAUGCAGAGACUUCGUUUAGGUUGUUUCAGCUCGAAAACCAAACAAUGUCUCUAUAAAGUAUUAAGACUUGUAAUAGAGUUUUGUGUUCUCUUUGAUUAGAGAUAUAACAUUUUUGUGAAUACAAGAAAUUCUAUGAUAAAACAUUUUGUGGUUUUACUGUUUGAUAGUGUUUUCAGGAAAAGACGAAAGUGGAAACUGGACAAGUUCAGAAUCAGACAUAGCUACUCUCUUGUCUGCUGGAACUGAUUCUGGUCCAUCCAUGGAUGGUUUAAUAACUGUAAAGAACAAAAUAUUAUAGAACAGAGUAAAAGCUAAGAGAAGAAAAGCUGUAGUUGUGAGGAACGAUCCGGACAUCUCAGGUGGUUCUUCAAACAUGAACGGAUCCAUAGAUGAAGAACCUCCACUACUUGUUCUGACAACGUCCGAUGAUGUCUUGACGAAGGUUCUUGGUUUUUCAUCGGCUUGAGAUUCGAUUUGUUGGUCAAGCUGUUUCAGAGCUUCUCUAGCUUUAUCUCUAUCGAUUUCGAAUCUUUGUGAAGAAGAAGAAGAAGAAGGUGAGUCGUCUCUUUCAGUGGCUCUUACAAUACCCAUCAGAUGUUUUUUCUUCUUCUCCAUGAAUCCGCCAUGUACGUACCAAUUAAGAGACUGUAUCCCUAACACCACCAUUCUCUGUUUCUUUUCUUCUACGGCUCUCUGUGAUGAUGAUAAAUGUUGUGUGUGUGUGGACAUCGUUGUUGGCAAAAUUGUCAGAUACCACAGGCUUCUUAGUGGAUUUUUAUUGUCGUUUCAAAAUAAGAAUUUACAGGCCCAUUCGAAAGUAUUUUAAGGCUUCAAAUAAAAAGGUAUGAUAUUUAAUUAUUUAUACACUCCAUUUGAUCAAAUCCUAAGGUCAUACAAAAUAUUACAAAGUUGGUUGAAAUAAGCAACAAUAUAAAUCACAAUAACUUGAACCCUUGUUUUUGAUGCUCUUAGUUAAAAGCCUUAUUUGAUCACACAAUUUAGCAAUUCUAUAGAAUUUUAUAGAAUUACAAUAACUUGAAACAGCAGAAGAAACCAAUGAUGUGCACAUCAGGUGGUCUCACAUAUUCCGCACAACAAUCGAAAUGGAUAAAUCUCUUACAAAUCAAAAAUCUCAAAUUAAAAGUAUGUUUGAAUCACUCUCUCGCUCUCUCUCUCUCUCUCUUUCUUUUUAGAGGAAUGAUCUUUAAAAGUGGCCAAAAGUUUUGGAUUAUUUGGACAAGGUGAAUUGGUGAAGAACAUUGCCGGAAAUAUCAUAGUAGAUGAACUUAGCUUGAUAGUGAGUAAUGUGAAGAGACAUGAAACCUUGUCCGUCGUAAUAAAGUUUUAGUUCUUUUGGAUCCCACGGCAGAAUAACUCCUCUCCAUGCCUUUGAUCCUCCUCCACUUGUCAGAAAUUGAAUCCCACUUCACCAAUUCCAAACAAUGAAUUAUUUAGGUUUUGUCUGAAGUAGUAAACAUUUAAACUUAACUAAGACUUUGACUAAUCUAGAUUCAAAUAAAAUUUGUUUAAAACAAACUGACUUCGUGUUUUAUUUUUCAUUCAAGAAUGUAAACCAAUACGAUCCCUAUUGAUGAAAAGAAGAAGUAAAUAGAACUUUACCCGUCNNNNNNNNNNNNNNNNNNNNNNNNNNNNNNNNNNNNNNNNNNNNNNNNNNNNNNNNNNNNNNNNNNNNNUUUUUUGAAUAAAUUUAACAUUUAUUCAAAAAAAAAAAAAAAAAGUUCAUCUUCUUCCUCGUGUUCUCUCUCUAUCUCAAAACCCUAGCUGUUCCCUAUUCAAUUAAGCUAGGUUACUCUCAAUUCGAGUUUGAUUCACUGUGAAUUAGAAAACCAACGAUGAUGCAUUGUCCUGUCUCUUCGUCACUUAUCUUCCAACCGAGCAGUAUCCGAGCAACAUCGAAAGUCUACGCAAAGAAGAAACUCACUAAGAAUCUCCGUAACCCACGCCGCACCAAACUCCCUCCUGAGUUCGGUGUCAACUUGUUCCUAAGGAAACCCAUCACAGAACCGUUGUUACCACUACAAGAACAAGAAGAAGAAGAUCAAGAGCUUGAUGGUAGUCCUGAUGUCUGGGAACCAAACGAAAUCGAAGCGAUCUCAUCUCUUUUCCAGCAAAGAAUCCCUCAGAAACCAGAGAGAGUGGUUCGAGUCAGGCCUCUACCACUUCCUCAGCCUCACAAGCUACGACCUUUAGGCCUCCCAACUCCAAAGCCCAACAACAUCAAGAAACCACUCGUGUCAUCAUCAUCAAAAGACCCGAGCUUUCUCAUCAGUUUAGCUAGAGAGAUCAAACACUUACCUUCCCCUGAAGCAGACGUCUCUCUCGUCCUCAACAAAUGGUCCACCUUCCUCCGCAAAGGCUCCCUCUCCACCACCAUCCGCGAGCUCGGCCACAUGGGUUUGCCCGAGAGAGCCUUGCAGACCUACCGCUGGGCGGAGAAGCAUCCUCAUCUCUUUCCUGAUAACCGCAUCCUCGCGUCCACCAUCCAGGUCCUAGCCAAGCACCGCGAGCUGAAGCUCCUCAAGUUCGACAACACCUUGGCUAGCAAGAGCGUUA
RNAcentral lists this long non-coding RNA (3410 nucleotides) under Brassica napus (rape). Its description in RNAcentral is "long non-coding RNA (BNAP_LNC020315)". Lineage: Eukaryota; Viridiplantae; Streptophyta; Magnoliopsida; Brassicales; Brassicaceae. The record is from RNAcentral.